UUCCUACGGGACGCAGCAGUGGGGGAUAUUGCACAAUGGGGGAAACCCUGAUGCAGCGACGCCGCGUGAGUGAAGAAGUAUUUCGGUACGUAAAGCUCUAUCAGCAGGGAAGAAUAAUGACGGUACCUGACUAAGAAGCCCCGGCUAACUACGUGCCAGCAGCCGCGGUAAUACGUAGGGGGCAAGCGUUAUCCGGAUUUACUGGGUGUAAAGGGAGCGUAGACGGCAGAGCAAGUCCGGAGUGAAAGCCCGGGGCCCAACCCCGGGACUGCUCUGGAAACUGUUAAGCUGGAGUGCGGGAGGGG
This 305-nucleotide ribosomal RNA is filed under the name uncultured bacterium. RNAcentral describes it as "bacterial SSU rRNA". It matches the Rfam family "Bacterial small subunit ribosomal RNA", at positions 336 to 657 of the family's 1533-position model. The record is from RNAcentral.